GACGAACGCUGGCGGCGUGCUUAACACAUGCAAGUCGAACGGAAAGGCCCUGCUUUUGUGGGGUGCUCGAGUGGCGAACGGGUGAGUAACACGUGAGUAACCUGCCCUUGACUUUGGGAUAACUUCAGGAAACUGGGGCUAACACCGGAUAGGAGCUCCUGCUGCAUGGUGGGGGUUGGAAAGUUUCGGCGGUUGGGGAUGGACUCGCGGCUUAUCAGCUUGUUGGGGGGGUAGUGGCUUACCAAGGCUUUGACGGGUAGCCGGCCUGAGAGGGUGACCGGCCACAUUGGGACUGAGAUACGGCCCAGACUCCUACGGGAGGCAGAAGUGGGGAAUAUUGCACAAUGGGCGGAAGCCUGAUACAGCAACGCCGCGUGCGGGAUGACGGCCUUCGGGUUGUAAACCGCUUUCGCCUGUGACGAAGCGUGAGUGACGGUAAUGGGUAAAGAAGCACCGGCUAACUACGUG
Molecule: ribosomal RNA, 468 nt
Filed under: uncultured bacterium
Lineage: Bacteria
Description: partial 16S ribosomal RNA
Rfam family: Bacterial small subunit ribosomal RNA
Source: RNAcentral